GAUGAAGAACGUAGCGAAAUGCGAUAAGUAAUGCGAAUUGCAGAAUUUCCGUGAAUCAUCGAAUCUUUGAACGCACAUUGCGCCCCCUGGUAUUCCGGGGGGCAUGCCUGUCCGAGCGUCAUUACAACCCUCAAGCUCAGCUUGGUGUUGGGCCCCGCCGCCCCGGCGGGCCCUAAAGUCAGUGGCGGUGCCGUCCGGCUCCGAGCGUAGUAAUUCUUCUCGCUCUGGAGGUCCGGUCGUGUGCUCGCCAGCAACCCCCAAUUUUUUUCAGGUUGACCUCGGAUCAGGUAGGGAUACCCGCUGAACUUAAGCAUAUCAAUAAGCGGAGGA
RNAcentral lists this unclassified non-coding RNA (330 nucleotides) under soil metagenome. RNAcentral describes it as "partial contains 5.8S ribosomal RNA, internal transcribed spacer 2, and large subunit ribosomal RNA". The stretch from base 1 to 121 matches the Rfam family "5.8S ribosomal RNA", at positions 35 to 154 of the family's 154-position model. The record is from RNAcentral.